UACGGAGGAUCCAAGCGUUAUCCGGAAUCAUUGGGUUUAAAGGGUCCGUAGGCGGUUUAAUAAGUCAGUGGUGAAAUCUGGUCGCUCAACGAUCAAACGGCCAUUGAUACUGUUAGACUUGAAUUAUUGGGAAGUAACUAGAAUAUGUAGUGUAGCGGUGAAAUGCUUAGAUAUUACAUGGAAUACCAAUUGCGAAGGCAGGUUACUACCAGUGGAUUGACGCUGAUGGACGAAAGCGUGGGGAGCGAACAGG
Molecule: ribosomal RNA, 253 nt
Filed under: uncultured bacterium
Lineage: Bacteria
Description: partial 16S ribosomal RNA
Rfam family: Bacterial small subunit ribosomal RNA
Source: RNAcentral